GAUGAACGCUGGCGGCGUGCCUAAUACAUGCAAGUCGAGCGAACAGACGAGAAGCUUUGCCCUCUCUGGCUUGCGCGGGGCGGGGGUGUGAAACAUGGAUAAAACACACCUAUAACAGGGGGAACACCGCGGGAAACCAGAUCAUAUACCGGAAUAUAUUUAACUUCGCAGUUCAAAAGAGUGAGAGACGUUUCUGGUGUCACUUAGAUGUGUACGCGCCGUAUAAGCUAGUGGGUGAGGUAACGGCUCACCAAGGCAACGAUACGGAUCCGACCUGAGAGGGUGAUCGGCCACACUGGGACUGAGACACGGCCCAGACUCCUACGGGAGGCAGCAGUAGGGAAUAUUCCGCAAUGGGCGAAAGUCUGACGGAGCAAUGCCGCGUGAGUGAAGAAGGUUUUCGGAUCGUAAAACUCUGUUGUAAGGGAAGAACAAGUACGUGAGUAACUGAACGUACCUUGACGGUACCUUAACAGAAAGCCACGGCUAACUACGUG
This 497-nucleotide ribosomal RNA is filed under the name uncultured bacterium. RNAcentral's name for it is "partial 16S ribosomal RNA". It matches the Rfam family "Bacterial small subunit ribosomal RNA", at positions 28 to 507 of the family's 1533-position model. The record is from RNAcentral.